AGCCUCACCCUAGAUAAGAGUGGGCACUGUUGACUGGUGUCCAAAAUUGGUCAGUGUGGCUACACUGAGACACAGGCGAUGCCUCUGUCAUAGUGAGUGUGUCCCUGUGGUGACAAUGACACCUGCAACACUU
This 133-nucleotide small nucleolar RNA is filed under the name Chinchilla lanigera (long-tailed chinchilla). Its description in RNAcentral is "Small nucleolar RNA SNORA1 (ENSCLAG00000019075.1)". It matches the Rfam family "Small nucleolar RNA SNORA1". Rfam says of the family: ACA1 is a member of the H/ACA class of snoRNA that guide the sites of modification of uridines to pseudouridines. The record is from Rfam by way of RNAcentral. Lineage: Eukaryota; Metazoa; Chordata; Mammalia; Rodentia; Chinchillidae.